UUUGGUUAAGUUAGAAAGGGCGCACGGUGGAUGCCUUGACACUAGGAGUCGAUGAAGGACGGGACUAACGCCGAUAUGCUUCGGGGAGCUGUAAGUAAGCUUUGAUCCGAAGAUUUCCGAAUGGGGAAACCCACUAUACGUAAUGGUAUGGUAUCCUUACCUGAAUACAUAGGGUAUGGAAGACAGACCCAGGGAACUGAAACAUCUAAGUACCUGGAGGAAGAGAAAGCAAAUGCGAUUUCCUGAGUAGCGGCGAGCGAAACGGAAUCUAGCCCAAACCAAGAGGCUUGCCUCUUGGGGUUGUAGGACAUUCUAUACGGAGUUACAAAGGAACGAGGUAGACGAAGCGACCUGGAAAGGUCCGUCACAGAAGGUAACAACCCUGUAGUCGAAACUUCGUUCUCUCUUGAAUGUAUCCUGAGUACGGCGGAACACGUGAAAUUCCGUCGGAAUCUGGGAGGACCAUCUCCCAAGGCUAAAUACUCCCUAGUGAUCGAUAGUGAACCAGUACCGUGAGGGAAAGGUGAAAAGCACCCCGGAAGGGGAGUGAAAGAGAUCCUGAAACCGUGUGCCUACAAAUAGUCAGAGCCCGUUAAUGGGUGAUGGCGUGCCUUUUGUAGAAUGAACCGGCGAGUUACGAUCCCGUGC
Molecule: ribosomal RNA, 648 nt
Filed under: Bacillus paramycoides
Lineage: Bacteria; Bacillati; Bacillota; Bacilli; Caryophanales; Bacillaceae
Description: partial 23S ribosomal RNA
Rfam family: Bacterial large subunit ribosomal RNA
Source: RNAcentral